AGUAAUAAAUAUAAUAGCCAAAGAUGAAUAAUAUGUUCUCUAUAGCACCUUAAUAAUAGC
RNAcentral lists this small RNA (60 nucleotides) under Strombidinopsis acuminata. RNAcentral describes it as "partial Betaproteobacteria transfer-messenger RNA". Lineage: Eukaryota; Ciliophora; Spirotrichea; Choreotrichida; Strombidinopsidae. The record is from RNAcentral.